This 210-nucleotide long non-coding RNA is filed under the name Elaeis guineensis (African oil palm). RNAcentral's name for it is "long non-coding RNA (EGUI_LNC072318)". Lineage: Eukaryota; Viridiplantae; Streptophyta; Magnoliopsida; Arecales; Arecaceae. The record is from RNAcentral.
CCUCUCAAGUUUCUCUCUCUAGUUUUGAUCUAGUAAUGGUCUUCUUUCAAUGUUUUUGUUUAAUCCUAGUGAACAAGGGUCUUGACCCAUGGCAGUUGGACAACAUGCUAGUCCCCACCCUGAUCAGAUCGGGUACUAUUGAAUCUGAUCAUCCAUAAUUAUUUGUUAAACCAUUCAUACCCCAGUUCAAGCAUGAUUAGAUGAUAUCAG